GCAGCACGGGUGCUUGCACCUGGUGGCGAGUGGCGAACGGGUGAGUAAUAUAUCGGAACGUGCCCUAGAGUGGGGGAUAACGUAGCGAAAGUUACGCUAAUACCGCAUACGAUCUACGGAUGAAAGUGGGGGAUCGCAAGACCUCAUGCUCCUGGAGCGGCCGAUAUCUGAUUAGCUAGUUGGUGGGGUAAAAGCCUACCAAGGCGACGAUCAGUAGCUGGUCUGAGAGGACGACCAGCCACACUGGGACUGAGACACGGCCCAGACUCCUACGGGAGGCAGCAGUGGGGAAUUUUGGACAAUGGGGGAAACCCUGAUCCAGCAAUGCCGCGUGUGUGAAGAAGGCCUUCGGGUUGUAAAGCACUUUUGUCAGGAACGAAACGGUGGGGGCUAAUACCUUCUGCUAAUGACGGUACCUGAAGAAUAAGCACCGGCUAACUACGUGCCAGCAGCCGCGGUAAUACGUAGGGUGCGAGCGUUAAUCGGAAUUACUGGGCGUAAAGCGUGCGC
This 510-nucleotide ribosomal RNA is filed under the name uncultured beta proteobacterium. RNAcentral describes it as "bacterial SSU rRNA". It matches the Rfam family "Bacterial small subunit ribosomal RNA", at positions 66 to 572 of the family's 1533-position model. The record is from RNAcentral. Lineage: Bacteria; Pseudomonadati; Pseudomonadota; Betaproteobacteria.